AGAUCCCUGCCUGGGAUUUGCACUUUCCGUAGCUGGAAGAGGAACAACAUGCUGGCUGAUGCCUGCAUGACUUCCUCCAAGGUGUCAAGGAAGGAGAGGGGACCAGCUCAGACUUCAAUGCUUCACAUUCAGAUGUUUGAGUGAUGACAGAGGUAUCCCACCAUGGCCAUCUCUUCUUGGAGCAAGAGUCUAGGAGCAUCAUCCUGGAGGACCUCUGCUGGCUUCAGUGAAAUGACUGACUUUUUCCAGUCUGCAUCUCAGCAUAUGACCCAAAGAAGAGCAUGAAGGAUGCCCUGGAGAUCCUGCUAGAGACUAUGAAAAAUGGGAGCACCUUCCAAGGGUGGUUCAUAUCUUAGAAAGGCAGAAUCAGCUUCCGCCCAGAAAGGAAAUCUCAGAUGCUGGAAAUGUGACUGAACCAUGCCAUUUGCUCCGGGCUCUGGAUCCCAAAUGCCUUGUCCCACCCAUGAGUUUCUUCUUGGUCCAUGGUCCGAGUGAGGCAUUUCUGGGGUGCACCCUGUAGCCCCCCGGGAAUAACUUGUGUUCUGGAGGAGUGAAGCGGUGCAUCCCGUGCUGCGCAGAGCUCUGAGGGCAGCUCUUCUCCCCCGACUGGCAUAGAGUGAUCUCAGCUUUCCACCUGAGACAUGGUAGGUUUGGGCUCUGCUCCUGGGCAAAGAUAUAAUUUUUUUGAGACCUCGGGACUUGAUUUGCUAAAAUUGAGUGGCUUUUCUGAGUCUGUAAGUUGUGAAAGGAAUUUGAAAUACCCAGUUGGUCUGCCUUUUCCUCCUUGUAAUAUGGCUAGUCCUGUAUUGAACCAGCCCCUGACAGGAACCCCUAUGGCGAUUUGGCUUGGGGAAUAAUAAAAACCCCAACCAACCUCUUUUUGUUUUUAUAACCCCAAAUAUUUCUGUCCUAAAACUAUGAGCAAUAAAACUCUUCUUUUUGCCAAGA
Molecule: long non-coding RNA, 948 nt
Organism: Aquila chrysaetos chrysaetos
Lineage: Eukaryota; Metazoa; Chordata; Aves; Accipitriformes; Accipitridae
Exons: 4
Source: RefSeq, a predicted model, not a curated record